RNAcentral lists this ribosomal RNA (516 nucleotides) under uncultured bacterium. Its description in RNAcentral is "bacterial SSU rRNA". It matches the Rfam family "Bacterial small subunit ribosomal RNA", at positions 28 to 526 of the family's 1533-position model. The record is from RNAcentral.
GACGAACGCUGGCGGCGUGCCUAAUACAUGCAAGUCGAGCGGACAGAUGGGAGCUUGCUCCCUGAUGUUAGCGGCGGACGGGUGAGUAACACGUGGGUAACCUGCCUGUAAGACUGGGAUAACUCCGGGAAACCGGGGCUAAUACCGGAUGGUUGUUUGAACCGCAUGGUUCAAACAUAAAAGGUGGCUUCGGCUACCACUUACAGAUGGACCCGCGGCGCAUUAGCUAGUUGGUGAGGUAACGGCUCACCAAGGCAACGAUGCGUAGCCGACCUGAGAGGGUGAUCGGCCACACUGGGACUGAGACACGGCCCAGACUCCUACGGGAGGCAGCAGUAGGGAAUCUUCCGCAAUGGACGAAAGUCUGACGGAGCAACGCCGCGUGAGUGAUGAAGGUUUUCGGAUCGUAAAGCUCUGUUGUUAGGGAAGAACAAGUACCGUUCGAAUAGGGCGGUACCUUGACGGUACCUAACCAGAAAGCCACGGCUAACUACGUGCCAGCCGCCGCAGUAACAC